This 265-nucleotide ribosomal RNA is filed under the name Homotrigona apicalis. RNAcentral describes it as "partial large subunit ribosomal RNA". Lineage: Eukaryota; Metazoa; Arthropoda; Insecta; Hymenoptera; Apidae. The record is from RNAcentral.
AUAGAAUUUUAUACUAAUUUAUUUUAAUACUUAAUAUAAAAUUUAGAUUAGUAUUUGAUUGGGAGGAUUAUUAAAUUUAAAAAACUUUAAUUUCUAUAAACUUUGAUUCAAGAAUAUAUAAUGAUCUUUAAUUUGAAAUCUUUAGAAUAAAUUACCUUAGGGAUAACAGCGUAAUAUUUUUUUAUAGAUCACAUAGAAAAAAAUGAUUGCGACCUCGAUGUUGAAUUAAGAUAAAUUUUAAACGCAGGAGUUUAAUAAUUAAGUC